Long non-coding RNA from Xiphias gladius (swordfish), 446 nucleotides. RefSeq lists it as uncharacterized. The record is from RefSeq and is a predicted model, not a curated record. Lineage: Eukaryota; Metazoa; Chordata; Actinopteri; Istiophoriformes; Xiphiidae. The transcript is spliced from 3 exons.
CGUCUCCCACAUCCUCAUCACUGUCCUCCUGUGCCUCUGCCCUGGUUCCAGUUCAUGACCCCAUGAGUUUGGCAAGCGAAUUUUUGUUUUUCGCAAGUGGCGCCGUUCAAUUUGGAAAAAAAUUAAUCGACUCGGAGGUGGAGUGAAGCUGAGUUGGAGAAGGAGUGUUGGGCAAAGUGGUCAGCACAGGCAGUCCUUGAAGAUCCUAGUUGAUGUGUGGAGUGGGUCAAGCAGUCAUUGUGCUAUAGCUUGAUGGUGCCAGUGGGCAGGCUACUAUUACACAGUCUGUAGUAGCGAAGGUCAUUCACCAGCCGCUGUACACUUUGAGUGAACGAAGCUUGAAGUUGCGUGCAAGAACACCUCGUUGGCUGGUGUCUAAACCCUGGCAGCCAUUGAGGAACUCUGGCAUGAAGGCCGAGUAGAAGGCAUCAAAGUCGACAGAGGCC